Pelobates cultripes (western spadefoot toad) is the source of this 292-nucleotide non-coding RNA. The record is from the annotation of a GenBank genome assembly. NCBI's taxonomy places the organism in Eukaryota, Metazoa, Chordata, Amphibia, Anura, Pelobatidae.
GUAUAAGUAUGUAUAAAGGAUUGAAUGUUGUGGGUGUUUUUUAUUUUGCACUAUUGUGUUCUUUAUUUUGUUCUUUAUAUCACCAUGCAUAUGCUGAUGAAUAAGUUGUAACUGCCACACAUCCAUCAGCUGGUUGGAAACCCCACCGCAUGAGUGGAAAUCUAUAAGUUUUUGUUGUGUAUUCUGCCUGCCAACAUUAUUGUUUUUUAUCUUUUCACCUAUGUCCAUGAAAUACACAAGUAUGAAGUAAUACCAUCUGGAGGAUUGUAAAAAUGUAGUUUGUGAAAGUCCC